GGGGUGUUAGUCCAAAAAAGACAACUGAUUUCGACUCAGUUAAUUAUGGUUUAAACCCAUAAUACCCCU
Molecule: transfer RNA, 69 nt
Filed under: Odorrana margaretae (green odorous frog)
Lineage: Eukaryota; Metazoa; Chordata; Amphibia; Anura; Ranidae
Also listed under: 1 other name
Description: tRNA-Arg
Rfam family: tRNA
About the family: Transfer RNA (tRNA) molecules are approximately 80 nucleotides in length. Their secondary structure includes four short double-helical elements and three loops (D, anti-codon, and T loops).
Source: RNAcentral